This 1135-nucleotide ribosomal RNA is filed under the name Citrobacter sp. CK187. RNAcentral's name for it is "bacterial SSU rRNA". It matches the Rfam family "Bacterial small subunit ribosomal RNA", at positions 1 to 1125 of the family's 1533-position model. The record is from RNAcentral. Lineage: Bacteria; Pseudomonadati; Pseudomonadota; Gammaproteobacteria; Enterobacterales; Enterobacteriaceae.
AAAUUGAAGAGUUUGAUCAUGGCUCAGAUUGAACGCUGGCGGCAGGCCUAACACAUGCAAGUCGAACGGUAACAGGAAGCAGCUUGCUGCUUUGCUGACGAGUGGCGGACGGGUGAGUAAUGUCUGGGAAACUGCCUGAUGGAGGGGGAUAACUACUGGAAACGGUAGCUAAUACCGCAUAACGUCGCAAGACCAAAGAGGGGGACCUUCGGGCCUCUUGCCAUCAGAUGUGCCCAGAUGGGAUUAGCUUGUUGGUGGGGUAACGGCUCACCAAGGCGACGAUCCCUAGCUGGUCUGAGAGGAUGACCAGCCACACUGGAACUGAGACACGGUCCAGACUCCUACGGGAGGCAGCAGUGGGGAAUAUUGCACAAUGGGCGCAAGCCUGAUGCAGCCAUGCCGCGUGUAUGAAGAAGGCCUUCGGGUUGUAAAGUACUUUCAGCGGGGAGGAAGGUGCUGUGGUUAAUAACCGCAGCAAUUGACGUUACCCGCAGAAGAAGCACCGGCUAACUCCGUGCCAGCAGCCGCGGUAAUACGGAGGGUGCAAGCGUUAAUCGGAAUUACUGGGCGUAAAGCGCACGCAGGCGGUCUGUUAAGUCAGAUGUGAAAUCCCCGGGCUCAACCUGGGAACUGCAUCUGAUACUGGCAGGCUUGAGUCUCGUAGAGGGGGGUAGAAUUCCAGGUGUAGCGGUGAAAUGCGUAGAGAUCUGGAGGAAUACCGGUGGCGAAGGCGGCCCCCUGGACGAAGACUGACGCUCAGGUGCGAAAGCGUGGGGAGCAAACAGGAUUAGAUACCCUGGUAGUCCACGCCGUAAACGAUGUCGACUUGGAGGUUGUGCCCUUGAGGCGUGGCUUCCGGAGCUAACGCGUUAAGUCGACCGCCUGGGGAGUACGGCCGCAAGGUUAAAACUCAAAUGAAUUGACGGGGGCCCGCACAAGCGGUGGAGCAUGUGGUUUAAUUCGAUGCAACGCGAAGAACCUUACCUGGUCUUGACAUCCACGGAAGUUUUCAGAGAUGAGAAUGUGCCUUCGGGAACCGUGAGACAGGUGCUGCAUGGCUGUCGUCAGCUCGUGUUGUGAAAUGUUGGGUUAAGUCCCGCAACGAGCGCAACCCUUAUCCUUUGUUGCCAGCGGU